AAAACAGCAACCUAAGUAUUGGCAACAAUCAAAUUACCUUUCAUAGGAAACUAGUUAGAUCAUCUGUAGAGCAUCCAUCAUUCAAUGGACUUAUAUAUAUAUUUUUUUUUUCAGAUGGAAUUUCGCUCUUGUUGCCCACGCUGGAGUGCAAUGGUGCGAUCUCGGCUCACUGCAACCUCCACCUCCCAGGUUCAAGCAAUUCUCCUGCCUCAGCCUCCAGAGUAGCUGGGAUUACAAGCAUGCAUUACUACUGGCUAAUUUUUGUAUUUUUAGUAGAGAUGGGGUUUCACCAUGUUGGCCAGGCUGGUCUCCAACUUCUGACUUCAGGUGAUCCACCCGCCUCGGCCUCCCAAAGUGCUGGGAUUACAGAUGUGAGCCACUGCGCCCAGCUGCCAUUCAAUGGACUACUGUCCAUUUAUAAAAAGAAUGAAGAUCUCCAUGAGCAGAGCAGAUAUAAAUCUAAAAGACAUUAGGUCUUAUAAGGAGGAGAGAGAUGGCAUCAGCCCACGGAAAGCAAGAGCCUGAACAGGGUGGGGAAACCACCUAUUCAGGUGGCAGCACAUGAAGAUGGCCGCAGCCCAGGUGGAUGAUUAGAGUCCAUGGGGGUGAGGAGGACACCUGCAUGUCAUGGAGGAAGACUUCUUCCAAGUUGCUGGAGGAGAUGGCCACUAGUAGCCUUGAUUUUAUAUCAUCCCAGCACAAAGACACCAAAUGCAAGAGACAGCAUUUUCCACCAGCUCUAGCUGGAAAAUCCUUAGAGGAGGACUGUAGUUAUCAGCUCAACCAGGACAACUUGAUCGGAGAAGAGUGGUUAUCCAGAAAGGGAUGCUGAGCAGAUAAUCAACGUUCUCUGAAGUGGGUAUAAUGACUAUCUACAUGCAUAUGGGAAAGAGAGGCACAGAGAAAUGAAGUAACUUUUCCAAGGUCACACUGUUGGUUGGUGGGAGAGGUAAACCAAAAACCCAUGCCUCCUCACUCAGACCUCUGCUCUUGCCUGAAUAACCAUGUUAUUUCGCCACUUCAAAAUAAAAGUGAGACCUACC
This 1043-nucleotide long non-coding RNA is filed under the name Pan troglodytes (chimpanzee). RNAcentral describes it as "long non-coding RNA NONPTRT017121". Lineage: Eukaryota; Metazoa; Chordata; Mammalia; Primates; Hominidae. The record is from RNAcentral.